RNAcentral lists this long non-coding RNA (441 nucleotides) under Pan troglodytes (chimpanzee). Its description in RNAcentral is "long non-coding RNA NONPTRT001454". Lineage: Eukaryota; Metazoa; Chordata; Mammalia; Primates; Hominidae. The record is from RNAcentral.
GCUGGUGAUUUCCAGGAAGUGACCUCACAAUGACUCAAGCUACCACAUACUGUUGAUUGUGAAAUGCCAGUUGAAGCAUAUGUCCUGCAAGCUUAGGGGUGCUACAAGUUGACCACUGCAGCAGUAAAGAUGACUCUGAAGAAUGGCAUGGGAUGGAUCCUUUCGAAGGCACUUGAGCAGCAGUCUCCAACCACAGGGCCACAGAGCUGGAGCUGGAUCUACCAUGAAAGACUUCUGAAUCCAGGAAGAGAGACUGACUGGGCAACAUGUUAUUCAGGUUCAAAAAGAUUUGGACUGUAACUUAAAAAUGAUCAAAUAAUAGUGCAUGCAUCAAGUGCAAUGUGAAGCUCUUCUGGAGAGUGAGAGAAGCUUCCAGUUAAGUUUUAAUAUAAUUAUCUACAGAAAGAAAUAGUCUUAGAGAUCUUCAAUAAAGUUAAAAAA